GCAAAUCAAGUAUAAGUCUCCACGCCAUAAGCUUUUUCCACGUAGAUUAGGGUUCAAAGGAUGAAGAUUGAUUUGUAUUUGCAAAAGAAAGCCCUUUCUAUGAAGCAUGACAAUGAGAAAAUAAAGAAAUAAGUCUCGAUCUAAGUGGAAGAAGUAGUUAGACUGUAGUUUUGAGCCCGAAAUCUGCAUUAUAAUGAAGAAAAGAAUGCAAGAAGAUUUUCUUGCACUCCAUACAAUAAUCAUGCAUACCAAUCUUAAUUUCUUCUUUGUGUCUGCCCUAUUAUCCCCAUACAUCCACCAUAAAAAUGAAGUUCUCCUUGCAAAUGGACUGCAUCCAAGGCUUUCACAUACCUGUUACACUGCCAAAGACCCACAUGAAGGGGAAGUCAAAUGGUUUUCAAGGAGUUUGAACAUGAGUUUUUGCCUCUUUACGGAUGAAUUCUGCAUGAGAGAUGUAAAGAAAGCUUUUUAAGAAAUAUGCAUGAACGAUUUACAUUGAGGGGUGAAUGGCACUACCUAAAAGAAAAACAUGAAGAAUCCUCGUGGACUUCUUUGGUAACUGUAAUAUCGGUGCCCUAAACUUCUGGUUUUGAUCUUUAUUUUUCUCAUUUUUGAAAGUUUGGAUAAUCCUUGAAAAUUAAUAUAAUUUCUGUCUUUCAACCACCUUUAUACAAGAUGGCUUGAUAAGAAACCAUCACCCUGUAACGUUAGUGACUGAUAAUAUGGACAACAGGAAAAGAAGAUAAUGCUAAUGAAUAAUGAAGCACAAAAGGAGGAGCAUGCCAAAUUUGUAAUGAUCUUUUGGUUCGGGCAAAUGAUUCAACAUGUUGAAAUGAUGAUUUGAUAUGAUACGCCUGGAGUGAUACAAAAGAAAGUACACAAGUUAGAUUCAAUGAUGAUGAAGAAUGUGCAUAUGGCAACCAUAGGUGGAGAAUGUGUUCCAGAAAAAGGUUACAGGAGUAACAUGAAUAAUAUGAGAUACUUCUUGUUUGGUUGAAUCUUUUCUAUCUUUCAGGAGAAACAUGAAGAAUAUGUGAUGUUUCUUGUUUGGUUGAAAAACAUUGUUGGGCAAUUGCAUCUACAAGUGAUCAUUCUAGAUAUGGCAUGUUGAAAACACUACAACUCCAACAUGUUGAAAAUUAAAUAUUUCCUUCUGGUUGUUUUCAUAAAAAUAUGCAGUUAUAAGAUUUGACAUCUUAUAACUUGAUUUAUAUAUACAUAUUUGCAUUAUAUUUUUUUCUUA
This is a long non-coding RNA of Cryptomeria japonica (Japanese cedar), 1243 nucleotides long. RefSeq lists it as uncharacterized. The record is from RefSeq and is a predicted model, not a curated record. The transcript has 5 exons. NCBI's taxonomy places the organism in Eukaryota, Viridiplantae, Streptophyta, Pinopsida, Cupressales, Cupressaceae.